This 475-nucleotide ribosomal RNA is filed under the name uncultured organism. RNAcentral describes it as "partial 16S ribosomal RNA". It matches the Rfam family "Bacterial small subunit ribosomal RNA", at positions 334 to 800 of the family's 1533-position model. The record is from RNAcentral.
CACUCCUGCGGGAGGCAGCAGUGGGGAAUUUUGGACAAUGGGCGAAAGCCUGAUCCAGCCAUGCCGCGUGCAGGAUGAAGGCCUUCGGGUUGUAAACUGCUUUUGUACGGAACGAAACGGCCUUUUCUAAUAAAGAGGGCUAAUGACGGUACCGUAAGAAUAAGCACCGGCUAACUACGUGCCAGCAGCCGCGGUAAUACGUAGGGUGCAAGCGUUAAUCGGAAUUACUGGGCGUAACGCGUGCGCAGGCGGUUAUGUAAGACAGUUGUGAAAUCCCCGGGCUCAACCUGGGAACUGCAUCUGUGACUGCAUAGCUAGAGUACGGUAGAGGGGGAUGGAAUUCCGCGUGUAGCAGUGAAAUGCGUAGAUAUGCGGAGGAACACCGAUGGCGAAGGCAAUCCCCUGGACCUGUACUGACGCUCAUGCACGAAAGCGUGGGGAGCAAACAGGAUUAGAUACCCCAGUAGUCCCAUGA